UUUGACUUUAUUUUUCAGACUGUACCUAGUGGGGCCGUUUGUGGUAUAUCCUAACCGACGACGUCUAAUUGAAGCGUAAAUUUUUAUGAACAUAAUUAGAAACAUUUUUAUGUCAAACAAAAUUCCAGUUAGCAUAGCAGCAAUCUCUUCAUCUUCAUACGGCAUGUUCGUAAAUCACAAACUACAAUUAAAUGGGAGCCAAUAUUACAACAAACAUACAUCAUAUCAUAACAAAUAAAACAACCUACGAUUUGUUGACAUAAAUAGAGACAAAAUUAUAUUUAUUCACGUACUCAUCCUAUAAUAAACACAAAAAUCAGAUUAAGGAAUUAAUUGCUAAUUAACAAAAUAAAGCACACGUUAUUGAUUUAGCAAAAUUACUAUCCCUUUUCCUUUAUGCUAACAACACAAGGUUUGCUUCCAUUAUAUAACAAUAAAAAAUAUAACCACUGUAUCACAUAAAUUAUAUUCAUCCAUUUUCCAUUUGCGAACCAGGAAGAAACAACUAUUGUAAUACACAACCAAAUUGCUGUAUAAAAUUUGCAGUUAAAAAAUCGAAAAUAAACAUUUAAGGCUCCAACACCUAGGAUGCCAACAAAGUAACUCUACCCACACAGGGGAAAACAUUAAUUGGUAAAGAAGAGAUUAACCUGGUAAGAUUUAAGGAGUGGAAACGAGAAUGUCGACGGAAAACACAAACCCAAGCGAGCUUUGU
Molecule: long non-coding RNA, 715 nt
Filed under: Erythranthe guttata (spotted monkey flower)
Lineage: Eukaryota; Viridiplantae; Streptophyta; Magnoliopsida; Lamiales; Phrymaceae
Description: long non-coding RNA (EGUT_LNC000443)
Source: RNAcentral